RNAcentral lists this ribosomal RNA (570 nucleotides) under uncultured bacterium. Its description in RNAcentral is "bacterial SSU rRNA". It matches the Rfam family "Bacterial small subunit ribosomal RNA", at positions 767 to 1337 of the family's 1533-position model. The record is from RNAcentral.
AGCGAACAGGAUUAGAUACCCUGGUAGUCCACGCCGUAAACGAUGAGUGCUAAGUGUUAGAGGGUUUCCGCCCUUUAGUGCUGCAGCAAACGCAUUAAGCACUCCGCCUGGGGAGUACGGUCGCAAGACUGAAACUCAAAGGAAUUGACGGGGGCCCGCACAAGCGGUGGAGCAUGUGGUUUAAUUCGAAGCAACGCGAAGAACCUUACCAGGUCUUGACAUCCUCUGACAACCCUAGAGAUAGGGCUUCCCCUUCGGGGGCAGAGUGACAGGUGGUGCAUGGUUGUCGUCAGCUCGUGUCGUGAGAUGUUGGGUUAAGUCCCGCAACGAGCGCAACCCUUGAUCUUAGUUGCCAGCAUUCAGUUGGGCACUCUAAGGUGACCGCCGGUGACAAACCGGAGGAAGGUGGGGAUGACGUCAAAUCAUCAUGCCCCUUAUGACCUGGGCUACACACGUGCUACAAUGGGCAGAACAAAGGGCAGUGAAGCCGCGAGGCUAAGCCAAUCCCACAAAUCUGUUCUCAGUUCGGAUCGCAGUCUGCAACUCGACUGCGUGAAGCUGGAAUCGCUA